CUCAAAGUUGUUUGGGAGCAUAUGCUCCUAUCAACUUUACCCGGGACACACAAAAGAAGUACUUUGAUCCUAUUAGACGGAGGAGGGUGAAGAAGCUAGGACAGAAGGGUAGAGUUCAAGAGAGCAAAAUGCGUUUAGGAACGUGGAAUAUAGGAACCUUAACGGGAAAAUCUAUGGAAGUAGUGGAAGUUAUGGUGAGGAGAAGGAUAAAUAUUAUGUGCCUACAAGAAACUAAGUGGGUUGGUAGUAAGGCAAAGGAUCUAGAAAACUCAGGGUUUAAACUUUGGUAUUCGGGCACAAAUAGAACGAGAAACGGUGUUGGCAUCAUCGUGGACAAGACCUUGGUACAAGAUGUUGUAGAUGUCAAGAGGGUAGGAGAUAGAAUCAUGGCAAUCAAGAUUGUAAUAGGACAAGAACUUAUCAAUGUGAUUAGUGCGUACGCACCUCAAGUAGGGUUGGAUACGAGUUCGAAGGAGAAAUUUUGGGAAGAUCUUGGAGACUUGGUGCAAGGAAUUGCUCAGACGGAGAAGUUAUUUAUAGGAGGAGAUUUAAAUGGACACGUGGGUAGGGAGACAGGCAACUAUGGAGGUUUUCAUGGUGGCCAUGGUUUUGGGGAGAGAAACGAGGAUGGGGAAGCUAUCUUGGAUUUUGCAAUGGCAUAUGAUCUCUUCUUAGCCAACACCUUCUUUAAGAAGAGAGAAGAACAUGUAAUCACCUACAAGAGUGGGUCGUCAAAAAACACAAAUAGAUUUUCUUCUAAUGAGGAAAGGGGAUCGUAUAACUUGUAAGGAUUGCAAAGUUAUACCAGGAGAGAGCGUGGCUAAUCAACAUCGCUUGUUGGUGAUGGAUGUACAUAUCAAAAGAGUAAGACAAAAGAACAAGACUUGGAAGUGCCCAAGGACUAGAUGGUGGAAUCUAAAAGAAGAAAAACAAGCCAUUUUCAAAGAGAAGGUAAUCACCCAAUGUGUGUGGGAUAGAGAGGGGGAAGCUAGCCAAAUGUGGGAUUCCAUGGCUAGUUGUAUCCGAAAAGUAGCAAAAGAGGUAUUAGGAGAGUCCAAGGGCUUUGCCCCACACCAAAAGGAAUCUUGGUGGUGGAAUGAGGAGGUACAAACAAAGGUGAAGGCUAAGAAGGAAUGUUGUAAAGCCUUAUACAAGGAGAGGACCGAUGAAAAUGGUGAAAGGUAUAGAAAAGCGAAGCAAGAGGCGAAGAAAGCUGUCAGAGAAGCUAAGUUAGCGGCUUACGACGAUAUGUAUAAACGACUAGAUACCAAAGAAGGGAGAGUUGGAUAUCUAUAAACUAUCUAGAGCAAGGGAAAAGAAGACAAGGGACCUAAACCAAGUGAGGUGCAUCAAGGAUGAGGAUGGAAAGGUUCUUGCUACAGAGAACGCGGUUAAAGACAGAUGGAGAGGUUAUUUUCAUAAUCUUUUCAAUGAAGGACAUGAAAUGAGUGCUUCUUUAGGGGAGUUGAGUAACUCAGAAGAGUGUAGAAACUACUCUUUUUAUCGUCGAAUCCGGAAGGAAGAAGUGGUUGUAGCUUUGAAGAAGAUGAAGCAUAAAAAAAGCAAUAGGCCCAGACGAUAUACCAAUCGAAGUGUGGAAACUUUUGGGAGAGACAGGUAUAACAUGGCUCACUGACCUUUUCAAUAGGAUUUUGAAAACGAAGAAGAUGCCAAAUGAGUGGCGAACGAGCACUUUGGUGCCUAUCUACAAGAAUAAGGGCGACGUACAAAAUUGCAUGAACUAUAGGGGUAUUAAGCUAAUGAGUCAUACAAUGAAGCUCUGGGAGAGAGUCAUUGAGCAUAGAUUGAGACAAGAGACACGGGUUUCGGACAACCAAUUCGGGUUCAUGCCAGGGCGCUCAACCAUGGAGGCAAUCUAUCUCUUACGAAGAUUGAUGGAAAGAUAUAGAGAUGGGAAAAAGGAUUUACACAUGGUCUUUAUAGAUUUGGAAAAAGCGUAUGAUAGGGUCCCAAGAGACAUUCUUUGGAGGAUUUUAGAGAAGAAAGGAGUACGAGUAGCAUAUAUCCAAGCUAUAAAGGAUAUGUAUGAAGGAGCAAAGACUGCCGUAAGAACUCAUGAAGGACAAACCGAAAGCUUUCCCAUAACUGUAGGAUUACAUCAAGGCUCAUCCUUAAGUCCUUACCUUUUUGCGUUGGUAAUGGAUGAGUUAACAGGACAUAUUCAAGAUGAUAUUCCUUGGUGUAUGCUUUUUGCAGACGAUAUAGUGUUGAUAGAUGAAACUCGGGAAGGGGUAAAUGCAAAGCUUAACCUUUGGAGAGAAGUGUUGGAAUCUAAAGGUCUUCGCCUAAGCCGAUCAAAGACAGAAUAUAUGGAGUGCAAGUUCAGUGCAAAUGGAGGCCAAAACGAGUUAGGGGUGAGGAUCGGAGAUCAAGAAAUACCAAAGAGCGACCGUUUUCGUUACCUAGGAUCUAUCUUGCAAAAGAACGGAGAAUUAGAUGGAGAUCUCAACCAUAGAAUACAAGCUGGAUGGAUGAAGUGGAAGAGUGCAUCCGGCGUGUUAUGUGACCGCCGUAUGCCACUGAAGCUCAAGGGAAAAUUUUAUAGGACGGCAAUAAGGCCGGCGAUGCUGUAUGGCACAGAAUGUUGGGCGGUGAAACAUCAGCACGUACACAAAAUGGGUGUAGCGGAGAUGAGGAUGCUUCGUUGGAUGUGUGGGCACACGAGAAAGGAUAAGAUUAGGAAUGAGGAUAUCCGGGGUAAAGUAGGAGUAGUCGAAAUUGAAGGAAAGAUGAGAGAAAAUCGGUUACGGUGGUUUGGACAUGUGCAAAGAAGGCCUACUGACGCUCCGAUUAGAAGAUGCGACUAUGGGACAGAGGUUCAGGGCCGAAGGGGUAGAGGAAGACCUAGGAAAACUUUGGAAGAGACUCUAAGAAAAGACUUAGAGUACUUGGAUCUAACGAAGGACAUGACACAGGAUCGAGCACAAUGGCGUUCUAAGAUUCAUAUAGCCGAUCCCACCCAGUGACUUGGAUUUUCCAAGUCUCCAACCGAGAAGUUUUCCUCACUCGGAAAAUUAAGGGAACACUACCCCAACCUACAUGCUCCACUCAGAAAGCUUCAACAUACAAGCUUCAACAAAAGAAAAUUCAAAGAACUUAGCGAAUAAGGCUUUGGUGUAUUUAACACAAUACGUUGAAAUGAAGGAAAGCUUAUUUAUUGAUAUCCCCGAUAAGCUACAAAUAUGUACAUAUACAUGAGUCAAAAUAAACACAAAAGAGGGAGCCUUCACAAAGGUUGCUUAGGAGAAGUCUCAGCAAUCGGUAGAGCCCCAGAAAGAGAAGGCACCGGAGGGGGAUCAUUUGGAGCCUCAGUACUGGACAGAACCCUAGAAGGAGAGGCAUCAGAGGUUGAUCAUUUGGAGCUUCAUUACGCGGUACAGCCCCAGAAGACGAAGGCAAUAAAUGCCUUUGGAACAAACCCACAAAUCUCUGAUGAUCAAGUAAAACCUGACCAUCAGUUUCCUUCAUCUGGUCAAGCUUCCUCUUCAUGUUUGUAGCAUAGUCAUGUGCGAGCCGGUGCAACUGUUUAUUCUCAUGCUUGAGCCCUCUAAUCUCCUGUUUAAGACUCAUCACUUCAGCCGCCAAUGAUUCAACUUGGCGGGUUCGAGCAAAUAGGCGUUGGGCCAUAUUAGACACAGAACCUGCACACUGAACACUGAGAGCCAGCGAAUCCUUAACAGCUAACUCAUCAGACCGUUUGGAAAGUAGUCUAAUAUCUUUGGGAGUGAGAAGGUUCCUGGCCACCACCGCAGCGGUCAUAUCAUUCUUCAUCACGGAAUCCCCAACGGUAAGAGGACCAGUAGGGGAGACGAAGGAUGGGCGCCAUAUGUUGUCUGGAGAAGGCGGGGCUGCCUCUUCAACAAGGUUCAAGUCAAAACGACGGUCGGAGGGGCCAGACAUUUUCAAAGGUGUUGAAGAGAGAAGAGGUCGGACAAAUCAAGAUCUUAGAAGUGCAAGAAUGAAGCUUCUACUGGUGGAGAUUCAAGUGUGCUUUGGAACUUAAUGCCAGCCCCUAUAAAAAAUCUGCACUCGACGGAGCUUUCAGAAAUCGAAGAGGCGCCUGCUCAGAAAUCGAAGAGGCGUUUGCUUUCUCAAAAGCUGGGCUGCUUAGAGAUCACGAGGGUUGAUCUCAGAAAUCGAAGAGGCGUUUGCUUUCUCAAAAGUUGGGCUGCUCGCUCAAAGACCACAAAGGCCGAUCUCAGAAAUCGAAGAGGCGCUCGCUUUCUCAAAAGUUGGGCUCCCCAGAGACCACGAGGGCCGAUCUCAGAAAUCGAAGAGGCACCUACUUUUCCAGCCUUGUCAACACCUGUCACACGCACACUCAGCUUUGCGGAAAUUAUGGGCAUUCUAUCGAAGACUUCUGGGGAAGUAGAAAACACAUGAAUCUUACUGUUCAAUCACCCACUUGCCACACGCAACAAUAGCUCAUGGGUACCACAGAAAACUUUGCCAAAGUUCUCUGCCAAAGUUGAGCACGUGAAGCUUGCAGCUCCCACUACAUCGCUCUGACCAAGAAGGGUAAAAGAAUAGCAAAUAAAUAGCACUAACAAAGUUUAAACCCAUAAAUUUUGAAGGUCUAGCUACCAUAUUAUUACCCACAAGGGUAAAGGAACAGUACCACUGCUGGAUAAUUGGAAAGUCCCUGUGUGUCAACCUCUGUGCUUCGUGGCAAGGUAGACUAGCAAACAUGCCCAACCUUUACUCACAUUCGAGAAAACACUCCCAAUAAGAUUGCUUGCUCCAAAAUCGAAGAGGCACCGUCCUCCGAAUCUCGAGAGCCAGACUCCCAACAUGACUACUUUCUUAAAAAUCGAAGAGAAGCUUCGUGGCAAGGUAGACUAGCAAACAUGCCCAACCUUUACUCACAUUCGAGAAAACACUCCCAAUAAGAUUGCUUGCUCCAAAAUCGAAGAGGCACCGCCCUCCGAAUCUCGAGAGCCAGACUCCCAACAUGAUUACUUUCUCAAAAAUCGAAGAGACACUGCUCCCCGAAUCUUCGAGAGCCAGACCCCCAGCAUGAUUGCUUUCUCAAAAAUCGAUGAGGCAUCGUUCUCCGAAUCAAUCGAAGAGGCGCUCGCUUUCUCAAAAGCUGGGCUGCUCAGAGACCACGAGGGCCAAUCUCAGAAAUCGAAGAGGCACCUACUUUUCUAGCCUUGUCAGCACCUGACACACGCACACUCAGCUUUGCAGAAAUUAUGGGCAUUCUGUCGAAGACUUCUGGUGAAGUAGAAAGCACAUGAAUCUUACUGUUCAAUCACCCACUUCCCACACGCAACAAUAGCUCAUGGGUACCACAUAUAACUUUGCCAAAGUUCUCUGCCAAAGUUGAGCACGUGAAGCUUGCAGCUCCUACUACAUCGCUCUGACCAAGAAAGGUAAAAGAAUAGCAAAGAAACAGCACUAACAAAGUUUAGACACAUAAAUUUUGAAGGUCUAGCUACCAUAUUAUUACCCACAAGGGUAAAGGAACAGUACCACUGCUGGAUAAUUGGAAAGUCCUUGUGUGUCAACCUCUGUGCUUCGUGGCAAGGUAGACUAGCAAACAUGCCCAACCUUUACUCACAUUCGAGAAAACACUCCCAACAAGAUUGCUUGCUCCAAAAUCGAAGAGGCACCGUCCUCCGAAUCUCGAGAGCCAGACUCCCAACAUGACUACUUUCUCAAAAUCGAAGAGAGGGUAAAGGAACAGUACCAUUGCUGGAUAAUUGGAAAGUCCCUGUGUGUCAACCUUUGUGCUUCGUGGCAAGGUAGACUAGCAAACAUGCCCAACCUUUACUCACAUUCGAGACAACACUCCCAACAAGAUUGCUUGCUCCAAAAUCGAAGAGGCACCGCCCUUCGAAUCUCGAGAGCCAGACUCCCAACAUGAUUACUUCCUCAAAAAUCGAAGAGACACUGCUCUCCGAAUCUCGAGAGUCAGACCCCCCAACAUGAUUGCUUUCUCAAAAAUCGAAGAGGCAUCGUUCUCCGAAUCUCGAGAGCCAGAUACCACAGACCACUUUUUCAAAGUGCUCUGACAGAGUUAAAACAUGUGAAACUGGCAGCUCCCACUACCGUGUUAUGACCAAGCAGGGUAAAGGAAUAGCAUUACUACUUGUUGUUAGGGAGACUCCUAUAUAUGUCGACCUCCAUCCCCAACGGACAGGCAGACCUGCAAAAAUGCUCAACCCUUCAUCAUAUCUGAGAGGGCACUCCCAACGAAGCCUUUCGAAAUAUUCAGCUUUCUUUCCCCCCGAUAAUACCUCUGCAAACAAGCUAUACUAGAGCAAGAAUAUCUCAUAUCAUCAGGGUUAAAAGCAAGAGUAUCCCAUAUCAUGCUUUUUCCCUGUCUUUUCCUUUGGCCUUGUUUUUACCUGCAAGACAAGGAGAAAGAGAGCAAUCAGUCAGCACUUGGAAUCAAGCUUCCAGCCAGGAACUGACUGCCUGGAACCCGUUACCUGAUUACUUACCUGGCAUUGCUCUCGAGUACUCAUCUUCAACAUCUUAUGUUUCCAGGGAAGAUUCCGCAUCUGCUUGAGGAACAGAUAGGGCAAGUGCGAAGGAUACAAGGAAGCAUGUGGAGACAAGCGUAACAGCACACGUGCCAAUACAUCCAUUACUCUGUCAAAAGCAAAAGUAUCCCAUAUCAGCAGGGUGGAACGUACUCUAGAUUUGAUGGACUUGUUUUGACCCUCAAAUUCUUCAGUCGGCCUUAUACUCUGGAGGAAACCAGAAAACCCUCCAGCUCAGUUCAAGAAUAAGCCUGUGGAAAGUUACUUCUUCAAAAGCAAAAGUAUCUCAUAUCAUCUCUUCUCAUUUUUCUUCUCUUUAUCCUUCAUGCUGUUGCAAGAUGGGGAGAAGGUGAACAAUCAGUCGGAGCUCUGAUUACUUACCUUGUCUGUCACCUCUUUCAGCAGACCCCCUAGCUCGGCGACUUGGGGGACUCCUACUACAUGGUUUGUAUCGCGCUUGACCAAGCCUGAAACUACAAGUAAGCUUCAAGUGAAAUUGAUACAUUACCUUGUGCAUCUCCACCAGUUAAAGAUACCACCCCUGGAUGGAGGAAGAGUACUUCCAGAGAAGAUGCCACAUCUAUCUAUGAGACAGAUAAGGCAAGUCAAGAUGACACCACACUCCGAUACUUAGAAGUUUCGUGAUUACGAGAUCAUUCUCCCACAAUAUUUCCUAAUGUCAUUUGUACUAAAUCAUUCACUUGUACUCACUAAAGGAGAGCUUGAACCUAUGUACUUGUGUAAACCCUUCACAAUUAAUGAGAACUCUUCUAUUCCGUGGACGUAGCCAAUCUGGGUGAACCACGUACAUCUUGUGUUUGCUUUCCUAUCUCUAUCCAUUUAUAUACUUAUCCACACUAAUGACCGGAGCAAUCUAGCGAAGAUCACAAAAAGCGACCGUUUUCGCUACCUAGGAUCUAUCUUGCAAGAGAACGGAGAAUUAGAUGGAGAUCUCAACCAUAGAAUACGAGCUGGAUGGAUGAAGUGUAAGAAUGCAUCCGGCGUGUUGUGUGACCGUCGUAGGCCACUGAAGCUCAAGGGAAAAUUUUAUAGGACGGCAAUAAGGCCAGCGAUGUUGUAUGGCACAGAAUGUUGGGCGGUGAAGCAUCAACACGUACACAAAAUGGGUGUAGCGGAGAUGAGGAUGCUUCGUGGGAUGUGUGGGCACACAAGAAAGGAUAAGAUUGGGAAUGAGGAUAUCCGAGGUAAAGUAGGAGUAGCCGAAAUUGUAGGAAAGAUGAGAGAAAAUCGGCUUCGGUGAUUUGGACAUGUGCAAAGAAGGCCGACUGACGCUCCGGUUCGAAGAUGUGACUACGGGACAGAGGUUCAGGGCCGAAGGGGUAGAGGAAGACCUAGGAAAACUUUGGAAGAGACUCUAAGAAAAGACUUAGAGUACUUGGAUCUAACGGAGGACAUGACACAAAACCGAGCGCAAUGGCGUUCUAGGAUUCAUAGCCGACCCCACUUAGUGGGAAAAGGCUUUGUUGUUGUUGUUGUUGUUGUUGUUGUUGUUGUUGUUGUGUGUUGAGUGUGAAUACCAUUUUGUACGCAAGAUUGUUGCAUGUUGAAGCCUAGAUUCUAUUAUGGACAGGGAAUUGUCUAAAUAUAUUGUAAAAUAUUUGACUGAAUUUAAGUUAAAUGAAAUGUAAGAACCGACUAAUAUUGGAUAUCAGUGACAGUGUGCAGGUAAGUGUUUGUUGAGGUAUGUGAAAACUUUUUGGAAUAGUCUUGAGGUUGAGGGUAAUGGAAGCUGUUCUUUGAUAGGCAUCAUAAGGGACACCUUCCCGGACUUGAACCUGGACCAAAUGCUAGUUAGGAAUUAGAUUAGGAAAGUGCAUAACUAAUCCGGUGUACUAGGAUCCGCACUGAGCUCAGUUUUUGGAUAAGGAAAGCAGUUUUGUUGCUCUUUUGUUGUACUACUAGUAAGAAUGGUUUGACAUGGUCCUUUCUUUGUGCAUGCAUAUCUUUGGUUUCCGCAAUGAUUUGUUAAUGAAAUGAUUAAGUUCAACUGAUGUGGUAGCUACUGAUGGCAUUUUGGGCGCUCAUUUCUUGUUGGAUAUUAUUUGUUUCUUGUAAUUCUAUAUUUUUCAUUAUCAGAUGCAAACUAGCGCUUUAGUCUGUUAAAGGAUUAUUUUUCUGGUUAAUGUUCAGUUAAAGUAUUAAAUCAUAUUUUUCUGUCUUUAUCUGCAGUCUCUUGAUAAACAAGGAGUAAGUUUCUGUACCCGGACCACACAUGAUGACAGUGCCAUCACAAAUGCUGUUGAAAUAUACGAUAGAUUGGGGUAUUUUAGCUAGUUCUGAAAAUCUGUUCAUCUGAAUUUUUUCUUUUAAUAAAACACAAUUUGAUAUAGAAACGCUUUUUCAGGGGUGGAAUGCAUUUCAUGGCAUCCAAUAAUGACUGCGGCAUAAGAGAAUAUGACAUGGAGAAGUUUCAGCUUUUGAAUCACUUUCGUCUCCCUUGGCCAGUGAAUGUGAGUCAUCCUAAGAACUUAAUUCAUAUUGAUGGUUUCUGUCAGAUAAACUUACCUGCCUUUUUCUACUUCUAUACUAAGAAUCUACAUAUUUGUCUUUACACUUUCACUUUCUGUGAUUUUCAUUGACUCCAACCUCCCUGGAUAUUAAUAUUAGAAGGCUAAGUUGUGCAUUGAAGAGUAUUAUUUCUGAUAUAUUUGGAAAUUGUUGAGAUGUCAACUAGGAAGUCAAGCUUUCAAAUCAGUUUUAUUUUGUUCAAUUGGUCAUGCUGAGGACAAGGACAAUUUUUAAAAUAAAAGGAAAUUGGUGACUGGUGUAGGUCACAGACUAAUUUCAUAUUUUGGUUUAGCUUGAUGGACAUAUCGUUUUCUUUUAUAGAUAAAUUGAAGCAAUAUUCCUUUUCAGCUAAUGACAUAGGAACAAUUUUCCUCUCCAACUUGCCAAAAUUCCUUUUCAUAUUUUGGUCGAUACCACUUGCCAAAAUUUUUCUUCGUUGACCCUCUCCUUAAAGCACAAAAUGUUGAUUGAGCCAAUCCUAGUAUUGAAAAUAUUUUGCAGACUUGAAACAAAUUACCUCUUUGAAAUAGAAGAGUGCAAUAUACUUAAGUGCUUGUAAAUUGGAAGUGAUCUGCAAUUGCUUAAACUGGAAUUAAUGUGUUGGUUUCUGUUGUUAUUCCUCCCCUAACUCUUUUACUUAACGUGGAGCUCACCUUGUUUGCAGCAUACAUCAAUAAGCCCAGAUCGUAGGCUUGUUGCCGUUGUUGGUGAUCAUGUAGAUGCAUUGCUCAUGGAUUCGCAGAAUGGGAAGGUACCAAGAUCUUUUUCCUGAUCAUGAUACUUUUGUCUGUAACUUAUUUUGUUGCAUUUCUUUCCAUAGAAAUAUUCUUGCUAAUAAGAUGAGGUAAACUGUGAAAAUUGAACGCGAGACAUGUAGACUUCGAGGAAAUGGUUAAUGGUGGUAAAAUACCAAUACAAGUGUCAUCUUUAAUACGAUAACAGAUUUUUGCUUACAUAGUUGUUUUUAUAAUUGUUCAGCAUAAAGAUAUCUACUUUUUAUUUAUCUUUUAAUAUACCUUAACUUUGUGUUAGCGGAGCAGUUGUGCUUCUAAAUUCCAAAUUUACCCCUAAAAGCAUUUUCCAGGUUUUAUUUUCAAAGAUGGGAACCGUUUACUAACCAUAUACAACUUUGUUUUUUUUUGUUUUUUUUUGUCAUUCCAGACUAUUGCUAAGGUCGUUGGUCAUCUGGAUUACUCUUUUGCGUCAGCAUGGCAUCCUGAUGGUUGCAAUUUGCCACUGGAAACCAGGACAAGACUUCCCGAGUCUGGGACAUAAGAAAUCUUUCAUUGCCAGUUGCCGUUCUGAAGAAUAGCUUGGGUGCUGCUAGGUCAAUUCGCUUUUCAUCAGAUGGUCAGUUCUUGGUGGUCGCGGAACCUGCAGAUUUUGUGCAUAUAUAUAGCACAAAGGCAUACUACAAAGUGCGGCAAGAGAUUGAUUUCUUUGGGGAGAUAUCCGGUGUAUCAAUGAGUCCCGAUGAUGAGUCUCUGUAUAUAGGAAUCUGGGACCGAACAUACGCCAGCUUGCUACAGUAUAACAGAAGGCACUAAGGGUGGAAACCCUCGUGUGGAUAGUUUUGCUUCAUCUCGCUCAUAAGAAACCACCAAGGGUGGAAACCCUGGUGUGGAUAGUGAGCCAGAUGGUAUUGUUGUACCCUUCAUAAUGUCCCCACAUAUGUGUAUUGUGGAGGGUGUAAAGAUUGUGAGUGUGAAAUAUGGAGCUUGUCUUUGCCUUUCUCGAUGCAAAGGAAUUUAACCCAUUACUUCUCUCAGAUCCAGCUUCCUCCCUCGGAUGAUCCAUUCUCUCAAUGAUUCAAUCGAUACCCUACUAUCUUUUGAACUCUUCUGGAUAAGAUAAGGGUGUUUUGGGUAGAAAAACGUGAUUCCGGAUGAAGGCUUUGUCCCGGAAUCCGAAUACUAGUUAUUGUUCGGUAGUCUGAUUCCGAGAAUAUUAGGAAUUGGAUUGCUGAUUUUGAGUGGACCCUGCAUAAAUUUUUAUUCCCCAAUGGAUAGUAGACACUGGAAUCCUUUCAGUCAUGAAUGAUUCUCUUUCAUUUCAUUUCCAACCCCUGUUGGUAAACACGCACAGAUGUUGUAUAGAGACUUUCAAAUGACAGAUGUAUUCCUGUUGGACCACAUAGCUUGGUGAGUAAAAUGAGUACUACCCAGACAGCAACUAAGUAUCAUCCGUGCAGAUGGGCCGAACUUUAUCUCCUUCCUCUCUCACACACACAGUACACACGCACGCACAGAGAAAAGAGAGACGGCGGAGCCGCGCAGAGAGAGAGAGAGAGAGUAGUGUUUCCCUUUCAUCUCUUACUUAUCUCCAGACUCUGCAAAUCAUAACAGCAAGUGGAUUAGCUAGCUGCCUGGAUUGCAAUCCCGACCCUCUGUUUUCCAGGCAAGUGUUUGUUCCUUCUUCUUACUCCCACUUUCUUUUUUUUCCAGUGUUUGGUUAUUAAUUUAUUAAUUUAUUGUUAUUAUUUCAAUUUUUUCAACCUCAAUUUGCUGUAAUUUUUUACCCUCUCUAAUAAAAUUUGUUUCGCCUGAUUUUUGUUUGCUUCAAACAAGAACGCUUACUGCAUUCGGGCCAUUCAUAUUUUUUGCUUAUUGCAGUUCAGCCAUCGACUUCGCCUAUGUAAUUUUACAUUGCCGGUCCCAAGCCCGGAUAAAGGAGGAGGGGGAGGGCGUCAGGUAGUCGACAGCCGGCACUCCAUGAUCACGUCGAAUCCUUAUGAAAAUGAAUCCAGAACAAAAUCGCGCUAAAGCUAGGGCGUCACCCGUAAGUGGUGCGCUGUGUGGCCCGAGCACAGUGAUAAGUGAGCAAGGGUCGCUGUAUCUCCAUCGGCACCCGGAUGCAGUGUUAAAUGAGCAAGGGGGCCGUAGAAACUUCUUUUCGAACGACUUCACUCAAAGUUGUUUGGGAGCAUAUGCUCCUAUCAACUUUACACGGGACACACAAAAGAAGUACUUUGAUCAUAUUAGACGGGGGAGGGUGAAGAAGCUAGGACAGAAGGGUAGAGUUCAAGAGAGCAAAAUGCGUUUAGGAACGUGGAAUAUAGGAACCUUAACGGGAAAAUCUAUGGAAGUAGUGGAAGUUAUGGUGAGGAGAAGGAUAAAUAUUAUGUGCCUACAAGAAACUAAGUGGGUUGGUAGUAAGGCAAAGGAUCUAGAAAACUCAGGGUUUAAAACUUUGGUAUUCGGGCACAAAUAGAACGAGAAACGGUGUUGGGCAUCAUCGUGGACAAGACCUUGACACAAGAUGUUGUAGAUGUCAAGAGGGUAGGAGAUAGAAUCAUGGCAAUCAAGAUUGUAAUAGGACAAGAACUUAUCAAUGUGAUUAGUGCGUACGCACCUCAAGUAGGAUUGGAUACGAGUUCGAAUGAGAAAUUUUGGGAAGACCUUGGAGACUUGGUGCAAGGAAUUGCUCAGACGGAGAAGUUAUUUAUAGGAGGAGAUUUAAAUGGACACAUGGGCAGGGAGACAGGCAACUAUGGAGGUUUUCAUGGUGGCCAUGGUUUUGGGGAGAGAAACGAGGAUAGGGAAGCUAUCUUGGAUUUUGCAAUGGCAUAUGAUCUCUUCUUAGCCAACACCUUCUUUAAGAAGAGAGAAGAACAUGUGAUCACCUACAAGAGUGGGUCGUCAAAAACACAAAUAGAUUUUCUUCUAAUGAGGAAAAGGGAUCGUAUAACUUGUAAGGAUUGCAAAGUUAUACCAGGAGAGAGCGUGGCUAAUCAACAUCGCUUGUUGGUGAUGGAUGUACAUAUCAAAAGAGUGAGACAAAAGAACAAGACUUGGAAGUGCCCAAGGACUAGAUGGUGGAAUCUAAAAGAAGAAAAACAAGUCAUUUUCAA
This 12891-nucleotide long non-coding RNA is filed under the name Malus domestica (apple). RNAcentral describes it as "long non-coding RNA (MDOM_LNC003524)". The record is from RNAcentral. Lineage: Eukaryota; Viridiplantae; Streptophyta; Magnoliopsida; Rosales; Rosaceae.